Molecule: long non-coding RNA, 1881 nt
Filed under: Nicotiana tabacum (common tobacco)
Lineage: Eukaryota; Viridiplantae; Streptophyta; Magnoliopsida; Solanales; Solanaceae
Description: long non-coding RNA (NTAB_LNC007320)
Source: RNAcentral
AAGACUCUACUAGACACGGCUUGUAGAUUCCCUAGGACAGAACUGCUCUGAUACCACUUUUGUCACGACCCAAACCGAUGGGCCGCGACAGGCACCCGGUACCUUACUCAACUGAGUACCAACGUAACGUAUCUUUCUUAAUACAUCAUCAUAUACACAUGCAUACGGGCCUAAUAGGCCAACAUGAUCCUUUAUAAACUCAAAACCUAGGCCGACAAGGCCGUACAAUCUUUUAUGUACAUGAUAUAUGUCUACGAGCCUCUAAGAAUACAUAAAUGUCAUAAGGGUCGGGACAGAGUCCCGCCAUACCAAACAAUACACGUCUAAAUCAUACUAACCAAAUGACCAACUCCGAAGCAAAUGGAGCGCACCAACAUCUUUCGCGGAGUUGAUAGCCUACUUGGAGGGCUCUCGAUCUGUCUAUCGGGACCUGCGGGCAUGAAACGCAGCGUCCCCAGGAAAAAGGGACGUCAGUACGAAUAAUGUAUCGAGUAUGUAAGGCACAUAAGUAAGUACAUCAGAGACAUGGAAGAAAUAUAGAGUACAUGACCCAACCCGUAAGCCUGAAUAACUUUAUAAAUCAUAAAUUACUUUCAGCGUCAUGCAUAUGCGUACGAAUGUCAUGUCGUGCAUAGGUAUAUGUUUCAUAACAUCAUAAGCCACUGAGGGCAUCCCAUCAUAUCAUAUCGGCCACUGUGGGCAAAGUCAUAAUGGUAUACCAGCUGAUCAGGUGGUGGUGCGUAUAUAACGCCAUAACCAUUCCCAUAUCCCAUAUACAUAUAUAUACAUACAUAUCUAUGCAUAUAUAAUGCUGUUUGAAUACAUACAUAUAUAUGCGUAUAUAACGCCAUUUGAAUACAUACCCAUAUAUGCGUAUAUAACGUCGUUUGAAUCAUAUUUCAACCACUGUGGGCAACAUCAUCAUCAUAUACUAGCUGAUCAGGUGGUGGUACGUAUAUAACGCCGUAACCUUUUCCAAUUCCAUAUACAUAUAUUUACAUAUAUACGCGUAUAUAACGCCAUCUGGUCAUGGGUCAAUGCACAUGAAUGCAAUGCAUGAAAAGUAUGUCAAUAAAAUCAUUCGGAAGGUCAUAAGACCACUUUGCCUCUUGAGCAAUAUCAUAAAGUAACAUCUUUUNNNNNNNNNNNNNNNNNNNNNNNNUCACUUAUGGAAUUUGUGCAUUUGCACGUUUCUUCAAUAUCGUAUGAAUCAUGCCAAAAGAAAGAAGGGAUAGCCUUAACAUACCUGAGUUUCAGGUGAAAACCCUAAAGCAGAAGUUUACUCAACUCAUUAUUCGGUGAUAAUCCAGAACUUUAGUUUAAUUUGCUCUUAUGCUUCGUUUCUCAGUCUAACUGGCGAACUUCGUUGUCUGUUUCAUUUUCUUUUACUAUCAAUAUAAUUUCCAUAUUUUUGAGGAAAACCAAAAGUUCCAAAAGGAAAAAGAAGGAAUACUGAAAAUCUUUGGCCCUCUUUUAGAUCAAAUAUUGACACCGAAGUGGUAAUGGUAGAGGGUGUCCUUUUGGAGUAAAAAUUGACUAGGCAUGGGUCCCUUGAAAGAACGGUUCACUGGCAUAUCCAACCUUGAACAACAACCAUAAAUUAUUUUGAGCUCCCUACAAAGAACAUGGCUGUAACUUCAACUUUUGAAGAAGGUUAAAUGUCUAGGAAAUAGGCAAGGGUGGAAAAUUUUGAAAACUUGCGCAAAGACAAGGAGGAACAGAGAUGAGGAUUUUUUUUUUGAAAAGCACAUAUUUCCAAGACAAAUUGUACUCUUCUCUUUUGGGUAUGCAUUUCUUGCUCUUUCUAUGUAUAUACAUGUAAAAUAAAAUAAUGAUCCGCAAAACUAUCAUUUAUUUGUUUGGUUUUUGUGGCAAAUAAGA